CUAUGCGCCUUGCCAGCCCGCUCAGGUGUGCCAGCAGCCGCGGUAAUACGUAGGUGGCAAGCGUUAUCCGGAUUUACUGGGUGUAAAGGGCGUGUAGGCGGGAAAGCAAGUCAGAUGUGAAAACCACGGGCUCAACCUGUGGCCUGCAUUUGAAACUGUUUUUCUUGAGUACUGGAGAGGCAGACGGAAUUCCUAGUGUAGCGGUGAAAUGCGUAGAUAUUAGGAGGAACACCAGUGGCGAAGGCGGUCUGCUGGACAGCAACUGACGCUGAGGCGCGAAAGCGUGGGAGCAAACAGG
This 298-nucleotide ribosomal RNA is filed under the name uncultured bacterium. RNAcentral describes it as "partial 16S ribosomal RNA". It matches the Rfam family "Bacterial small subunit ribosomal RNA", at positions 475 to 776 of the family's 1533-position model. The record is from RNAcentral.